CCCCAAUGAGGAAGAAUUCCCAUGAAAAAGAUAGGAAGUGCCGUCUGACACUUUAAACAAACAGUUAC
Molecule: small nucleolar RNA, 68 nt
Organism: Beta vulgaris subsp. vulgaris (sugar beet)
Lineage: Eukaryota; Viridiplantae; Streptophyta; Magnoliopsida; Caryophyllales; Amaranthaceae
Rfam family: Small nucleolar RNA U49
Source: Rfam